This 276-nucleotide ribosomal RNA is filed under the name uncultured bacterium. RNAcentral describes it as "partial 16S ribosomal RNA". It matches the Rfam family "Bacterial small subunit ribosomal RNA", at positions 79 to 353 of the family's 1533-position model. The record is from RNAcentral.
CUAAGUUUGAUGGCGACCGGCGCACGGGUGAGUAACACGUAUCCAACCUGCCGAUGACUCGGGGAUAGCCUUUCGAAAGAAAGAUUAAUACCCGAUGGCAUAGUUCUUCCGCAUGGUAGAACUAUUAAAGAAUUUCGGUCAUCGAUGGGGAUGCGUUCCAUUAGGUUGUUGGCGGGGUAACGGACCCACCAAGCCUUCGAUGGAUAGGGGUUCUGAGAGGAAGGUCCCCCACAUUGGAACUGAGACACGGUCCAAACUCCUACGGGAGGCAGCAUG